This 92-nucleotide ribosomal RNA is filed under the name uncultured bacterium. Its description in RNAcentral is "partial 16S ribosomal RNA". The record is from RNAcentral.
CCGCCCGUCACAUCACGAAAGCCAUCUGUACUAGAAGCCAGUGAUUCAACCGAAAGGAGAUAGCCGUCCAAGGUAUGAAUGGUGAUUGGGUG